This 253-nucleotide ribosomal RNA is filed under the name uncultured bacterium. RNAcentral's name for it is "partial 16S ribosomal RNA". It matches the Rfam family "Bacterial small subunit ribosomal RNA", at positions 524 to 776 of the family's 1533-position model. The record is from RNAcentral.
UACAGAGGUCCCAAGCGUUGUUCGGAUUCACUGGGCUUAAAGGGCGCGUAGGCGGGCGAGCAAGUCCGGGGUGAAAUCUUUCGGCUUAACCGGAAAAGUGCCUGGGAAACUGCUCGUCUUGAGGGAGGUAGGGGCCUGUGGAACUUCCGGUGGAGCGGUGAAAUGCGUAGAUAUCUGGAGGAAUACCGGUGGCGAAGGCGGCAUCCUGGACCGGCAUUGACGCUGAUGAGCGAAAGCUAGGGGAGCAAACGGG